GAUGAACGCUGGCGGCGUGCCUAAUACAUGCAAGUCGAGCGAACGGACGAGAAGCUUGCUUCUCUGAUGUUAGCGGCGGACGGGUGAGUAACACGUGGGUAACCUACCUAUAAGACUGGGAUAACUUCGGGAAACCGUAGCUAAUACCGGAUAAUAUUUUGAACCGCAUGGUUCAAAAGUGAAAGACGGUCUUGCUGUCACUUAUAGAUGGAUCCGCGCUGCAUUAGCUAGUUGGUAAGGUAACGGCUUACCAAGGCAACGAUGCAUAGCCGACCUGAGAGGGUGAUCGGCCACACUGGAACUGAGACACGGUCCAGACUCCUACGGGAGGCAGCAGUAGGGAAUCUUCCGCAAUGGGCGAAAGCCUGACGGAGCAACGCCGCGUGAGUGAUGAAGGUCUUCGGAUCGUAAAACUCUGUUAUUAGGGAAGAACAUAUGUGUAAGUAACUGUGCACAUCUUGACGGUACCUAAUCAGAAAGCCACGGCUAACUACGUGCCAGCAGCCGCGGUAAUACGUAGGUGGCAAGCGUUAUCCGGAAUUAUUGGGCGUAAAGCGCGCGUAGGCGGUUUUUUAAGUCUGAUGUGAAAGCCCACGGCUCAACCGUGGAGGGUCAUUGGAAACUGGAAAACUUGAGUGCAGAAGAGGAAAGUGGAAUUCCAUGUGUAGCGGUGAAAUGCGCAGAGAUAUGGAGGAACACCAGUGGCGAAGGCGACUUUCUGGUCUGUAACUGACGCUGAUGUGCGAAAGCGUGGGGAUCAAACAGGAUUAGAUACCCUGGUAGUCCACGCCGUAAACGAUGAGUGCUAAGUGUUAGGGGGUUUCCGCCCCUUAGUGCUGCAGCUAACGCAUUAAGCACUCCGCCUGGGGAGUACGACCGCAAGGUUGAAACUCAAAGGAAUUGACGGGGACCCGCACAAGCGGUGGAGCAUGUGGUUUAAUUCGAAGCAACGCGAAGAACCUUACCAAAUCUUGACAUCCUUUGACAACUCUAGAGAUAGAGCCUUCCCCUUCGGGGGACAAAGUGACAGGUGGUGCAUGGUUGUCGUCAGCUCGUGUCGUGAGAUGUUGGGUUAAGUCCCGCAACGAGCGCAACCCUUAAGCUUAGUUGCCAUCAUUAAGUUGGGCACUCUAAGUUGACUGCCGGUGACAAACCGGAGGAAGGUGGGGAUGACGUCAAAUCAUCAUGCCCCUUAUGAUUUGGGCUACACACGUGCUACAAUGGACAAUACAAAGGGCAGCGAAACCGCGAGGUCAAGCAAAUCCCAUAAAGUUGUUCUCAGUUCGGAUUGUAGUCUGCAACUCGACUACAUGAAGCUGGAAUCGCUAGUAAUCGUAGAUCAGCAUGCUACGGUGAAUACGUUCCCGGGUCU
RNAcentral lists this ribosomal RNA (1372 nucleotides) under uncultured bacterium. RNAcentral describes it as "bacterial SSU rRNA". It matches the Rfam family "Bacterial small subunit ribosomal RNA", at positions 28 to 1381 of the family's 1533-position model. The record is from RNAcentral.